GAACGAACCCCAUUCUCCACCGCUCACAGCCCACUCCCCUAUCCCAUUUUCCCCACUCCCCUCCCCACAUCCCAAUCCUCGCGGUGAGGUCCUGGCCGGCGACCCGGCGACGAGCGCGAGAGGAAGGCGAGGGGACGGCUAGGACAGGUCCUGGCCGGCGACGGACUCGUCGGACCGCUCCUCUGGCGACGGAGCGGAGGACGGGGGGCAACAGAGGUGGCGGGUGGAGCCUGUGCUGUCGAGGGCCCGACGAGUUGAGGUCCUGGCCGGUGACGGACUCGCCCAGUCACUCCCCCGGAGACGGAGCGGGGGACGGGAGGACAACGGGAGGUCGUCAGCGUCCACAUCGUCGUCGUCCGUGACGGCCGCGGCCUCGACGCUUGGGGAUGGGCUCGCCUCCGCUGCGCCGCCCUCCGCACAAGGAGGUCCACAGCGAUGCGACCUGCACGGCGCGCCAUCCCCGGCGACGCGCUCUACGCCCGUUCCUCUUGGCAGGACCGGCGGCCGCGGCGGCUCAGGCAGAAACACCGGGGGCUGGGACGCGUCGGCCUGCGCGACGACGCCAUGAGCUGCCCGGCCUGCGUGUAAGAGUAGCUCACUGGCGACUAGCUCGAUGGGCAGCAGCAGCAGCAGCACGGGCGGCUGUGCUGCACGCACGAGGUUGCCGCGACGGGGAUCUGCAUACUGUCGUCAGGCUCGAUGGGAAGCACCAGCACCGGCAGCAGUGCGUGCUGCGAUCUACGUCGCCUGCGACAGGAGCUGCAUACCGUCGCCGGGAUCGAGGGGAAUCACCAGCACCUAUUUUUCCUCUCUCGUCCGGAGGUAAUCACCGAUGCUCCAUCCAUCCUCCCCUGUUCUCUGUCGCCGUCGCAGCUUGUAAGUUGCUUUGCUGACUUCCGUUGGGAAUCAUUGAUGGUUGUAGAAUCCACGAUGCACAUUUGUACAACCAGGCCGGCGAGCUAUAUCAUACUAGCACCCCAUACAUGCCUGACAAUUAGAUUUUAGGAUUUUUGAUUCAUUUUCCUGAAUGUAUGCAAUCUUCUACACAUAUAUACAUGGCAAUUUUUGGAGGCAUUACCAGACACUUUCUGCACGCCUUUUUCAUGCACUACAUGGCAACUCAGGAAUUUUUCCCCUGAUGUUCUGGUUCUGAAUGUGUGGCAUCUUUUAUACAUAACACACAAGAAUUCUUGUAGUCACUACCUGACACUUUUUGUAUGCUCUCCGAGUGCACUACAUGGCAACUCAGGUUUUCUGCUGUAUUGUUUCUGAAUGUGUGGCAUCUUGCCAUGACAAUUUUUUGAGGCGUCGUUGAAUUGUAAAACAAAAAACGAUGGUUGAGGUCAGAAAUUUUUCAAUGCUCACACCCCGUCCCCGACGUGCUCCACAUGCCCGCAUUGGCAGUAGUGGUUUCCCGGUUAAGGAGCUUUGUGAGUUUCAACUACAAGUGCUGCUAUCUCUCCUACUGUUUUUGUAGAUGCUCUAGCUAUUUACCUUUUGUUGUACAGAUGUGAGUAUAUGUGUAGAUGUGUGAUUUUUUCGUAGUUGCUCUAUCUCGUGGUACUACCGCUACAAUACAUGGCAAAAUCCUGAAAAUUGAUAAUUCUGGUCCAUGGCAAAAUUAAUAGGAAAUGCUCCAAAAGAUGGCAGUUUCUUGUGAAAUGUCAUGGCAAAGUAUGAAAAAUCAUAUGGCAAAAUUCAAAACUUUUGUUUAAUCAAAUAUGACAUCUUUUAGAGCCAAUUGUAUUUGUCACAUGGCAUUUUUAAGAACAAGUUUUGAACAUUGGCAUGGCAAAAUUCAGAAUCAGAUCCUAAUUUGCCAUCUCUUUCGUAAGGAACAAAUCUUCUAAAUUUGCCACGUGGCCAUGGAAAAUUUGCUAAUUUUGCCAUCUCUUUUUUCACAAGAACAAAUAUUUUUACAAACCUUGGCUUUUUACUUGAUGGACCAUGGUGAAUAACUUUUGGAACAUGAUGAAUUAUUUCUAGAACAUGACUAAUUUGUUUCACAAACUAUGGCAAAUUUACUUUAUGUAUCAUGACAACGAAAUAUCAUUGCAAAUUUAUUUAUUUUCACCAUGUCAAAUUUACUUUUCUACCAUGGCAAAUUUGUUGUAGCUACUUUUACACUUUAGUUUGUUCGUACAUACCAUGAGACUUUUUAAUAGUUACCAUGGUAGUUUUACUGUAUGGCUUUUUGAUGUUUCAUAAUGUUUCAUGGCAAAUUUAUUCUACAACCCAUGGCAAUUUUCUUUCAAAUAACACGACAAUUUAAUAUGCAUUUUUUCACCAUGGUUUUUUUAUAUUUCAUAACGUUUAAGAACAUGGCAUUUUUUCUCUUUCUAGCAUGCCAAAACUUUAGUUUCUUGCGAUGGCAAUUUCGAGCUUCAUUUGCCAUCCAAUUUUUUUACUCUUUUUUUUGCCAUGUCAAAAUUCCUUUAUUACGACAUGGCAAAAUUACCCUUUCAGCUUUGCAUUGGCAAAUUUACUCGCACAUACAUGGCAAAUUUACUUCAACAUUCAUGGCAACAAUUUUCCUUUCCAUUGCCAUGCUAGUUUUUACUCUUUUUUUGCCAUGUGAAAUUUACCUUUUUUUUUGUCAUGGCAAAAUUUACCUUUUACUUGCCAUGCCAAAAUAAAGGAGUAUUCAUGGAGCAUGGCAAAUUUUACCUAUAAAUACUUGAAAAUUUUCUAUUACAUGCUAUGUGGCAAUUUUUACUCUUUUUUGCCAUGUCAAAACUUUACUUUCUUUGUCAUGGCAAUUUUUUAACCUUAAUUGCCAUGGCAACUUUACUUGUAAAUACAUGGCAAUUUUACUUUAACAUAGAUGGCAAUUUUUUGCCAUGGCAAAUUUAACCUUUUUUAUUGCGAUGGCAAUUUACAUUAAACAUACAUGGCAAAUUCACUUUUUCUCGCUCAUGGCAUUUUUACUUCUAUGGAGCAUGGCAAGUUUGACUUUUUUUUCUGCCACUACUAUUAAACAAAAGAUGUUGCAUUUUUGUUUCUGCUCCACAUGAUGGCAAUGUUUAAUCCACAUUUUUAGAUCUUCAUUUAUAUAGUAAAAAUAGCAUACACUUUUACAAUCCAUAUUUCUUGCCAUCAUGAUGUAGAUGCAAAAUUGCCAUGAACUUUUUCUUUUUCGCCAUUGCAUAAAAAAAAUCUUUUUUUACCAUGGCAAUGUUUUUGCUUAUAAAGAUGAUUGCAUAUUUAGUAGAAUGUUUUCAUUUUUUAUCUAGCACGACAAAUUUAUUUUUAGAUCUUUUCAAUUUCUUUUCAGAGUAUGGCAAAAUAUGGCCUUUUUAUUCACAACCAAAAGCGGCCUUUCUUAGUCACAGUAGGUCUUAGGAAAACUGGGCUUUAUUUCUCUUUCAAACGCGAAAAAGGCCUGGGGCGAUGGUGUUCGGGCUGGGUUCUUCUCGUCCCGAACGACAUCGUUCGGUCGUUUGCCUCCCCUGUCACGAACGAGUUGUUCGGUCUGGGGCUCUCCCAGACCGAACAGUCGGGAGUUAUCGGGGUCCUUUUCAUUUGCAGAUUAAUCGGCAGCUUCAGACUCGGACACAGCUUGUGAUCCCGGUUCCUUUCAAUUUUUUUGGAAAAGAAGGUUAAACCCUCAGCCUCUGCAUCAAUCGAUGCAUGUAGCCAUCUUUAUUAAUUACUAGGAAAAUGGCCCGUGCGUUGCAACGGGAAUACAAUCAUCCCCUGAUUGAUAACUUUUUUGCCUUACCAGGGAUCUAUCCUAGCCCCGCAAUGAAGCCUGACUAUCACCACGAUGAUAGGGCAUGACAGUCUGUCUCGAGAAGGUCCUCGGAAUCGGAUAGACCUAAUGCGACCAUGGCCUCCUACUACACAUCUGCCCAACACGUGAGCGUGCGGUGGCAUGAGGCAGGUUUCCUUGCCAAGGCCCAGCUGCAUGAGCAUCUGAUCUAGGGCAUCCGCCCUUGCAGUGUUAGUCGAGGUCGGCGGCCGGCGUCAUUGCGUGUGCGUUGCUAUCGGAAAAAAAUGUGUCUAAAGUUUUUAUCUUGCAGACUAUAUCUAAAGGGGAGAUUCAAAAGAGAACGAUGUGGCUCACGUACCCAGGUCAUUGUAUCUGAAGUUUCUAUUUAUUCAGGAUGGCGUAGGAACACAUUCAAUAACGAAGUAUAAUCUAAUUAGUAGCAAGGCACUCGGUAUCAUCAGUUUGUGUUUUUCUCCAAGUAGCAUAGAAACACAUCCCAUAACCAUAAUAUAAUACUGGACGGAGGGAGUAUGUGGUAAUAGGCAAUUAGUUUGGUUACUAUCAAUUCUCUAUGUUGUUCUUACCUUAUACAACAUGAACAUUUUUUAC
Molecule: ribosomal RNA, 4321 nt
Filed under: Triticum aestivum (bread wheat)
Lineage: Eukaryota; Viridiplantae; Streptophyta; Magnoliopsida; Poales; Poaceae
Description: partial small subunit ribosomal RNA
Source: RNAcentral